Molecule: ribosomal RNA, 360 nt
Filed under: uncultured bacterium
Lineage: Bacteria
Description: bacterial SSU rRNA
Rfam family: Bacterial small subunit ribosomal RNA
Source: RNAcentral
GUAGGGAGCGAGCGUUAUCCGGAUUUAUUGGGCGUAAAGAGUUCGUAGGCGGUUUGUUUAGUCUAAAAUCAAAACGUGGGGCUUAACUCCAUCUCGUUUUAGAAACUGGCAGACUUGAGUGUGGUAGAGGCAAGUGGAAUUUCUAGUGUAGCGGUUAAAUGCGUAGAUAUUAGAAGGAACACCAGUGGCGAAGGCGGCUUGCUGGGCCAUUACUGACGCUGAGGAACGAAAGCGUGGGGAGCAAAUAGGAUUAGAUACCCUAGUAGUCCACGCCGUAAACGAUGAGUACUAAGUGUCGGGCAACCGGUGCUGAAGUAAACACAUUAAGUACUCCGCCUGAGUAGUACGGUCGCAAGGCUG